CGCGCCGCUCUGCUGCUAGCCUGCUACUCGCGAAACCACGGCAAGGCAUCCGGCAUGGCCGCCGGCGCCCGCGCGACGCCGACGCGGACACCACCGCGCCCCUCCUCGCCGGCGCCCCGCACCGAGGCGGUGAUCCCACCGGACUGGGCCUCCGCCGUGACCCUCGUCUCCUCCCACUCCACGCCUCCUGUCGUCGUCGUGUGCGGGCCCAAGAACAGCGGCAAGUCCACCUUCUCCCGCAUCCUCCUCAACGCGCUGCUCCCCAGGCACGGGAAGGUUGCUUAUCUGGACACCGACGUGGGGCAGCCGGAGUUCGGGCUGCCUGGGUGCCUUUCCUUCCACAUCGUUGACGAAGCUCUCGAAGAUUUGCUGAACCCAACUCUACGGGAAGCUGAAAGGUGCUGCUUCUUUGGUGACAUUUCUUCAAAAAGAGAUCCAGAAGCAUAUCUAAAUUGCCUAUUCCAUUUGUAUGACUACUUUGUUGGAAAAUAUCGGUGUGAUGAGAAUGAAAUGCUGCCUCUAAUUGUCAACACUCCUGGCUGGGUAAAAGGUGCUGGUUUCGAUAUGCUCGUAGAGAUGCUUAGAUAUAUCAGCCCCACACUUGUUGUUCAGAUACGCAUCACAGCGCAGAGCAAGAAUCUCCCUGAUGGAAUGUUUUGGCUCGAUGAUGAGCAAACAGGACCUGAGAUGAUUAACAUCAAUGCUGCAUUUCAUGAUGCCUUGAAUAGAUCGUUGUUAAUUCAGAAAGAUUCAUGUGGAAUGCGUGAACGGCGUCUCAUUGAGUACUUGAAGCAAUGUUUCCCAAGCAACAUAUCUCUAUCAACUAAUAAGGAACUUGCUUAUGCCCUAGCUUCACUUCCACCUUAUCAAGUACCAUUUUCAGAUGUGACAGUUGUGCAUCUUCAUUGCGAGGUACCUGCUGGUGAGAGAUGGCGUAGUCUGAAUGCAACAAUAGUUGGUUUGGCAAUUUCCACUGCAUCCGAGGCCAGUAAAUCAAUCCCUUACUGUGUUGGGCUAGGCCUGACCAAUCUCCAGUGGAGGGAAGUUCAUCUAGAUAGAGCAUGCAGGUUGUGAACAAAGUCAGGGUUCUAAACAAUGUGGUUUCAGCAGCUCAGGAUGCAAUUUUCUCUGAUAUCUAUGUUGAAUUCAAGCAAAUAAUAACGAUGUUGUCCUUCUGCAGGCAUCGUAAGAGGCAUUGAUGUUCAAAAAGGCCUGUUAUACGUAAUAACUUCUGUCCCUCUCGAACGUCUGCAAAGUGUAGAUCUCUUGCAGCAGGGGCUCAUUGAGAUACCAACUACACUUUUGCAGGUACGUGGAUGUGUGUCACCAUACAUGUCGACAAAUGUACUGCACAAGAUAUCAGAAAGAGAUUUAUAUUCUGGUGAUGGUUAGCAUAGGCAGGCAGCAUGCUGCGUCCAAGGGAAGAAUAACGCCGCCCCAGCGCAGCACCAUACCUUUAUCUCUACUGAUUUCUGACCUGGAGAUCAUGACGCAACUGUAGCGGCAGACUACCAGCAGCGGUUGCCUCCUAGAUUUGUGCCCUGUGCAAUUGCCAUUUUGUGGCCUGGUCAAUUGCCAUAUCAAAUUCGUCAUUGCACUUAUGCUUCUAAGAAAUCUGAAUGUAACUUGCUGAAUACAUUGAAAUUUCUUAUUUUAAAUGAAGUUACUCCUCGUUUUGCUUUGAA
Panicum virgatum (switchgrass) is the source of this 1685-nucleotide RNA transcript. It is a transcript of the gene named polynucleotide 5'-hydroxyl-kinase NOL9-like, with no coding region annotated. NCBI's taxonomy places the organism in Eukaryota, Viridiplantae, Streptophyta, Magnoliopsida, Poales, Poaceae. The transcript is spliced from 9 exons. The record is from RefSeq and is a predicted model, not a curated record.